AUGGGAUUUGCCCUACAAGGAAUUUUCAUUCUGACUAUUUUGCAAGGUGUCCAUUGUGAUAUUCAGCUCUUGGAGUCUGGGGGAGACAUGAGACAGCCUGGAGGAUCCUUGAAACUCUCCUGCAAAGCUUCUGGAUUCACCUUCAGCAGCUACUACAUGAGUUGGGUUCGCCAGGCUCCAGGGAAGGGGCUGGAGUGGGUCUCACGUAUUGAUACUGGUGGAAGUAGCACAUACUAUGCAGACUCUGUGAAAGGCCGAUUCACCAUCUCCAGGGACAAUGGCAACAGCCUGCUGCAUCUGCAGAUGAAUUCCCUGAAAGCUGAGGACACAGCCAUGUAUUACUGUGCAAGACACACAGUGAGAGAGAGGAAGAGAGGCAAGUGGUAUUGGUGUAGUAUCAUGAGUCUUUCCUCUUUAUCUAUUUCAUCACAUAAAGAUUUCAGGCUUGAACCCAGCACAAAACCUGUGUCUGCUGAUCUGGGAGAGGAGCUUCUUCUCAUGUGGUCUUUCCCUCCUAAGGACUGA
Molecule: non-coding RNA, 525 nt
Organism: Gracilinanus agilis (Agile Gracile Mouse Opossum)
Lineage: Eukaryota; Metazoa; Chordata; Mammalia; Didelphimorphia; Didelphidae
Source: the annotation of a RefSeq genome assembly